GGGGAUGUCUCGCUUCUGUGGCACAGG
RNAcentral lists this non-coding RNA (27 nucleotides) under Homo sapiens (human). Lineage: Eukaryota; Metazoa; Chordata; Mammalia; Primates; Hominidae. The record is from RNAcentral.